CCGAUUAGUAGAUAAUUAUUUGUGAUAGCAAGUUAAUGACGGUGACUAACUUCAAGAAAAUCUGAGGUGAUGCCUCUGAUUAAAAUAAAUGUGUUGCCUCUCGAAAGGAUAACCAUGAGUGUUUUUGAAGCUCUCUCGUUUAUGAUAUCUUUUGCAACGUUAGUAGUUAUAAUACUCAAAUUUAA
Molecule: small RNA, 185 nt
Filed under: Companilactobacillus tucceti DSM 20183
Lineage: Bacteria; Bacillati; Bacillota; Bacilli; Lactobacillales; Lactobacillaceae
Description: Lactobacillus tucceti DSM 20183 Listeria sRNA rli28
Rfam family: Listeria sRNA rli28
Source: Rfam by way of RNAcentral